Molecule: ribosomal RNA, 492 nt
Filed under: uncultured bacterium
Lineage: Bacteria
Description: partial 16S ribosomal RNA
Rfam family: Bacterial small subunit ribosomal RNA
Source: RNAcentral
AGUGAACGCUGGCGGUAGGCCUAACACAUGCAAGUCGAACGGCAGCACAGUAAGAGCUUGCUCUUACGGGUGGCGAGUGGCGGACGGGUGAGGAAUACAUCGGAAUCUACUUUUUCGUGGGGGAUAACGUAGGGAAACUUACGCUAAUACCGCAUACGACCUACGGGUGAAAGCAGGGGAUCUUCGGACCUUGCGCGAUUGAAUGAGCCGAUGUCGGAUUAGCUAGUUGGCGGGGUAAAGGCCCACCAAGGCGACGAUCCGUAGCUGGUCUGAGAGGAUGAUCAGCCAGACUGGAACUGAGACACGGUCCAGACUCCUACGGGAGGCAGCAGUGGGGAAUAUUGGACAAGGGGCGCAAGCCUGAUCCAGCCAUACCGCGUGGGUGAAGAAGGCCUUCGGGUUGUAAAGCCCUUUUGUUGGGAAAGAAAAGCAGCAUGUUAAUACCCCGCUGUUCUGACGGUACCCAAUGAAUAAGCACCGGCUAACUUCGUG